AGUGAACGCUGGCGGUAGGCCUAACACAUGCAAGUCGAACGGCAGCACAGUAAGAGCUUGCUCUUACGGGUGGCGAGUGGCGGACGGGUGAGGAAUACAUCGGAAUCUACUUUUUCGUGGGGGAUAACGUAGGGAAACUUACGCUAAUACCGCAUACGACCUACGGGUGAAGGCAGGGGAUCUUCGGACCUUGCGCGAUUGAAUGAGCCGAUGUCGGAUUAGCUAGUUGGCGGGGUAAAGGCCCACCAAGGCGACGAUCCGUAGCUGGUCUGAGAGGAUGAUCAGCCACACUGGAACUGAGACACGGUCCAGACUCCUACGGGAGGCAGCAGUGGGGAAUAUUGGACAAUGGGCGCAAGCCUGAUCCAGCCAUACCGCGUGGGUGAAGAAGGCCUUCGGGUUGUAAAGCCCUUUUGUCGGGAAAGAAAAGCAGCAGGUUAAUACCCCGCUGUUCUGACGGUACCCAAAGAAUAAGCACCGGCUAACUUCGUG
Molecule: ribosomal RNA, 492 nt
Filed under: uncultured bacterium
Lineage: Bacteria
Description: partial 16S ribosomal RNA
Rfam family: Bacterial small subunit ribosomal RNA
Source: RNAcentral